GUCUCUCUCUCUCUCUCUCUCUCUCUCUCUCUGUGUGUGUGUGUGUGUGUGUGUGAGAGAGAGAGAGAGAGAGAGAGAGAGAG
Molecule: non-coding RNA, 83 nt
Organism: Podarcis lilfordi (Lilford's wall lizard)
Lineage: Eukaryota; Metazoa; Chordata; Lepidosauria; Squamata; Lacertidae
Source: the annotation of a GenBank genome assembly